GAGGUCAGUCAUGUCUCCAAGUUCUCCUGGAGUAGUUUCUACUAUUUAAUAAGCAGGCCUAGGAAAGACUAUCCACCAUUACUGCGAUUUGUUGUCUGAAACAGUGAAUGAAGAUGGCAUCUCCCGCCUGUAUGAAGCUUUUCAAGAAGUGCCUUUGAAAUCUGACAGGACCAGAAGGUACAUCCUCAAUAGACAUUACAAAUGGUUGCAGAAACUUGGAAAUCUCGUGUCAGGUUCUGCAUUCGACUAGGGAACCAGGACCAACACAGAAGACCUCUUCAUCCUGCUAUGCAGCGUCCGGGCAGGGGAGCCUGGUCUUCCCUGCUGUUUCUGCGGCUACAUGAGAAGGUUUCUCGUUGGAGAUGGAGGGGCUAAAUCUGGGAGGAAAAGAUCUGUUUUUUCCAGCAAUAUGUUCACCAGCAAAGCCCAGCAGCAGUGAGAUCCUCUUCCUGAGCCCAUCCCCCAGCGCUGCCAGCCUCGGGCAGCCACACAGCAGGGAGACUGACUGCUUAGAAGGAAGUUUACGGCUGUGGAACCAGCUUGCCUUACACACUCGUGAUAAUGGAUCUCAUCACUGUCUGAGUCAAGCUCUGUGACAAUACUGCAUCCGAUUGCUCCGGAUGUGACCGGCUGCUUCCCCAGCAGCAUCUCUGCCCAGCACACCUUUCCCAUCGCAGCUGCAGCUCCUGGGCUGGUCCCAGAUGGCCACUCCCCAGAUUCACUGUUGAAUCUCAGCUCAGAGCCACUCUGCUGCAAUAGACUCCUGGCUGCACUGCCCAGCCACAUGGACCAGCCGCAGAACGAAGGAGUGUGACUGAUGGCUACAAAGCUCCAGCCAUGGAUUCUCCAGCCAACGGGAGCAGCGCCAGCCUUCCCCUUAAAGAAAAUCAUUUCAGCUCACACCAUCCAGCUGCAAGAAUGUAUGAAUCCCCCAGAGCAAAAUGCAUUAAAUCAAUGCCACAUUGCACCCAGCUGUAGGGCAGCCCGUGUAACCAGCCAUAUCCCCGGCAUGCGCGCCACUCUCACCACAGCUGGAGCUCCAGGCCUGGUGUCGCAGCACUUAGGAUGCUCUGGGAGGGAGGUGGAGGA
Mauremys reevesii (Reeves's turtle) is the source of this 1089-nucleotide long non-coding RNA. RefSeq lists it as uncharacterized. The transcript is spliced from 5 exons. Lineage: Eukaryota; Metazoa; Chordata; Testudines; Geoemydidae. The record is from RefSeq and is a predicted model, not a curated record.